AUGGCGGCUGUGGAUGCAAACUCCGGCGGCGAUUCAGGCAUACCUCCGGGCGGCAGCGCGGCGCAGCAGCCUUCUCAAAUUGAUGACCCAAAGUGGUCAAUUUGGUUCCAUUUCAAUGCCAGAGAAUCUGUGGUUCGAAAUUUAUACCAGUCAGACAUAUCAUAUUUGACAAUGCUUUCUCUUAUUGGGAGUGAGGGCUUUGUGGCUGAUGAUUAUAUGUACUAUGUAUUUGAUGAGGAGAAAGGAUUAGAAGGUUUAGAUAAAAUAUGCUGUGGAGAUGAUGUGCAGCAGAUGUUGGCACACUCUCAUAAUGAAAAGUUUCUGAACAUAAGAGUAGUGGGAGCUCUUGAGGAAUGUAAUGCAGAUGAAAAUCAUGAAAACAGAGAUAGUUAUUUUGCUGAACAUUGCAUUAACACUCAACAAAGUUGCACUAAGGUGGUGGAUAUAAGCAUGGACAGAAAGGAAGAGCUGAAGAAAAGCAUGGUGCAGAGAAAGGCUGACCUUAACCAUUUUGAAGGUGACACUGAUGUGUCUGAAUUUGUUUCUGAUGAUGAAGCUGCAAAUUCAGGUUUAGAUGGGAACAAUGUGGAUUUUCAGUCAGAGUAUUCCUCUGAAGAUGAAGCUGCAAAACAAGAUACAGCAGUGGUACUGAAACUGAAGGUAGUGAGAAAACCUGGUCCAACUAGUAGAUCCCACCAUGAGGUUGAGAAAAUGGAGAAAGCAGAUUGGUUCCCUGAAGCAGAUGAAAAAUGUUUCCCUGGUGAUUAUGGCAUCAGUGAUGAAGAAGAUGAGCCUGAAGGAUCCUAUAAACUACCAAGUGGUAGGAAGAGAAGGAAUAAGAAGUUGAAAGACAGGAUAUGGUAUGAUCACAAACUUAAAGGACCAGUAGAACAGUUCUAGUCCACAAAGGUUACUACUAAGUGGAUGUCAAGGUCAGUAGAGGCAGCAUUGAGAGAAGACAUUAGAUCUCCUGUGGAUGCAUUAAUUAAGAAGACCAAGACUAAGUUUGCAGUGGAUGUAUCAAGAAGUUUGGCAUAUAGGGCAAGGAGGAAGGCUGUUGAUGUAGUUCAAGGUGACCACAAGCAGCAGUACUUGAGGCUCAGGGAUUAUCUUCAAGCAGUUCUUGACACAAACCCUGGUAGCAGGUGUAUAGUAACAACAUUUGAAGAUCCAGAGAACCCAGCACCUACUCCUAGAUUCAAGUAUAUGUUCUAUUGUUUAGCAGCUUCAAUGGAAGGUUUCCUUAAUGGUUGCAGACCAUUUAUAGGUCUUGAUGGAUGCUUCAUCAAGUUAACCACUGGACAGCAAAUUCUUGCAGCCACAGGAAGGGAUGGAAACAACAAUAUUUAUCCUAUAGCUUUUCGUGUGGUUGACAAGGAAGAUGGUGAAAGUUGGAAUUGGUUUUUAACUCAAUUGAGAUGUUGCAUUGGCAGUGGCAACAAAUUUGGAACAUACACUAUCAUGUCUGACAGGCAAAAGGGCUUGCUUAAGGCAAUAAAUGAGGUAUUCCCUGAUUCACCUCAAAGGUAUUGUCUUAGGCACAUAUAUGCAAAUUUUCAAUCUGCUGGAUUUAGAGGCCAGGAACUAAAGAAGUGUAUUGACAAGGCUAGCUACUCCUACACUAAACAUGGGCAUGAACUAGGCAUGGCAGAGCUAAAAGCACAGUCUGAGGAUGCUUGGAAAUGGCUCAAAAAUAUUGAGGUCUCUACUUGGGCUAGGCUUGCUAUGGAUCAUACUUGCAAAACAGAUUUAGUUGUGAACAAUCUAAGUGAAGUCUUCAACAAGAUGAUACUGGAUGUUAGGGCCAAACCAAUAAGGACAAUGUUUGAAGGGAUUAGGACCAAGCAAAUGAUCAAGAGGCAACAAACUAGGGAGAAGUUACAGAUUAGCAGGUGGACAAUCACACCAAUCUACUCAGAGAUUUUAGAAGAGAACAAGCAGUAUGCCAAGUAUUGUCAGGCUGACAGAGUUGGUCCAACAAUUUGGCAAGUUACUAGCAAAGAAAAACAGUAUUGUGUGGACAUGGAAGGGUAUACAUGUGACUGCAAGAGAUGGAACAUGACUGGUGUACCUUGCAGUCAUGGCAUAUCUGUACUGACAAAGCAAAAGCUGCAUCCUGAGGACUAUGUCAAUGACUUUUUCAAGAAGCCACUUUAUUUGGAGACAUACAAAGAAAUUAUAUACCCUGUUCCUGGUCCAGAUUUCUGGCCUCACACAAACACUCCAGACAUUGAACCUCCUGUGUUCAAAGAAAAGGCAGGCAGAAAACAAACUGCAAGGAGGAAAGGAGAGUUUGAAGUUCCUGCCCCAAGAGACACUAGUAGGAUGGGAACAAUUACCUGUGGAAAUUGUGGGUUGGAAGGACACAAGUAUACAAGUUGCAAUAAGACUCUUAGGCCUAAACUGCAAAUGAGGAAAAACAAACACCAGGAAAACAGGGCAGUCUAUGCACCUGCUCCAUCUGCUCCAGUACAAACUCCAAGAGCACCAGCCCCUAGUGCAAGAGCACCAGCUCCUGCUGCAUCAGCACCAGCACCACAUGCAAGAGCACCGGCUCCUGCUGCAUCUGCACCAGCACCACAUGCAAGAGCACCCGCUCCUACUGCAUCUGCACCAGCUCCUACUACAACAGCUAAAAGGGGUAGGCCUGCAGGUGGAGGGAGAGGCAAGGGAUUCAGUGCACCAAGAUCUGUUGCUGCAACUUCAGAUGUUUUGGCUGGUAACAAAAGGAAGAGUGAAGGAUGCAGUUCAGGAGAUGCACCAACCGUGAUGAAGACGAUGCAAUGUGGCUGCCUGAAUCUAUACCCAUGGUUGAACCCCUUCCCCACCGGCAAGGGCUGGGUUGCCAUGCUUUUUGGGUCGGCUCGCGGUGACGAAGACCUCUUCCUCGACUACAUGAAGAUUGCCAUGAGAUACAGCAGCGCACAAGGGCUCGUGGAUGCAUCAGAAGAGGUGAGGAAGAAGGCGACGACUGAGGAGAAGCAGCGCAUGGACCAGCGCUAUGCAACCCCAGGUAAGGGUAUCAUGCCCAUCGACAUGUUGCUGUGGGCAAUGAAGGAGGCGGACUCCGGCGAUGCUGGGCAGAGGGAACGGUGGGCAGCCCACCGCUAUAUCCCUCCAGCACAAGCUACAACUCCAACUACUAUGGGCAACGACGACGAGGACCUGCAGAUCAUCGCCCCACCAACACUACUGGCUCGUCGACGUCCUCCUCCCAUCAUCGUCAUCGAUGGAGAUGAAGAGGAGGUGCCAGAGCUGCCACCUACCACUCAAGUCAAGCAAGAGGUGCGACGGUCAGGUCGCAUAGCAGGGCAGGGGCCUAACAAUCUGAAACUGGUGUUUGCAAUCUCAGUGAGAUUCAGUUCUGUCAGUUUAAGUGUCUUUGAACAAUUUCAGUGUCCAUGUCCUAUCUAUGUAAGACUAAAUGCUAUCUAUGGGAGACUAGAUGUCUUCCAAACUUCUCUGAAUUUGUCUGAACCUGCGAUGAAGCAAUUUAUGAAGUAA
Molecule: ribosomal RNA, 3504 nt
Filed under: Triticum aestivum (bread wheat)
Lineage: Eukaryota; Viridiplantae; Streptophyta; Magnoliopsida; Poales; Poaceae
Description: partial small subunit ribosomal RNA
Source: RNAcentral